Molecule: ribosomal RNA, 383 nt
Filed under: uncultured eukaryote
Lineage: Eukaryota
Description: partial 18S ribosomal RNA
Rfam family: Eukaryotic small subunit ribosomal RNA
Source: RNAcentral
CAAUAGCGUAUAUUAAAGUUGUUGCAGUUAAAAAGCUCGUAGUUGGAUUUCUGGUAGGAGUGACCGUGCCAGACUUGAUUGUCUGUGUAUUGUGUUGUCUCCAGCCAUCCUUGUGGAGAACUUUUCUUGCAUUAAUUUGUAGGGAUUGGGACCCGCAUCGUUUACUGUGAAAAAAUUAGAGUGUUUAAAGCAGGCAAUCGCUUGAAUACAUUAGCAUGGAAUAAUAAGAUAGGACUUUGGUACUGUUUUGUUGGUUUGUAUACCAAAUUAAUGAUCAACAGGAACAGUUUGAGGAUAUUCGUAUGAACAUGUCAGAGGUGAAAUUCUUGGAUUUUGAUCAGACGAACUACUGCGAAAGCAUUUAUCAAGGAUGUUUUCAUUAA